This 253-nucleotide ribosomal RNA is filed under the name uncultured bacterium. Its description in RNAcentral is "partial 16S ribosomal RNA". It matches the Rfam family "Bacterial small subunit ribosomal RNA", at positions 524 to 776 of the family's 1533-position model. The record is from RNAcentral.
UACAAGGGGUGCUAGCGUUAUUCGGAUUCAUUGGGCGUAAAGGGUACGUAGACGGCGUGCUAAGUUAGUUGUUAAAUCUCUCGGCCUAACCGAGAACAAGCAAUUAAUACUGGUAUGCUAGAGGGUGAGAGAGAGGAGUGGAAUUCUCGGAGUAGCGGUAAAAUGCGUAGAUAUCGGGAGGAACACCGGUGGCGAAGGCGGCGACCUGGGUCGAUACUGACGCUGAGGUGCGAAAGCGUGGGGAGCAAACAGG